UACGUAGGGUGCGAGCGUUAAUCGGAUUUACUGGGCGUAAAGCGUGCGCAGGCGGCCCGUUAAGACAGGUGUGAAAUCCCUGGGCUCAACCUAGGAAUUGCGCUUGUGACUGGCGGGCUCGAGUACGGUAGAGGGGGGUGGAAUUCCUGGUGUAGCAGUGAAAUGCGUAGAGAUCAGGAGGAACACCGAUGGCGAAGGCAGCCCCCUGGGCCUGUACUGACGCUCAUGCACGAAAGUGUGGGUAGCAAACAGG
RNAcentral lists this ribosomal RNA (253 nucleotides) under uncultured microorganism. RNAcentral's name for it is "partial 16S ribosomal RNA". It matches the Rfam family "Bacterial small subunit ribosomal RNA", at positions 524 to 776 of the family's 1533-position model. The record is from RNAcentral.